AGCAUGUGGUUUAAUUCGAAGCAACGCGAAGAACCUUACCAGGCCUUGACAUGCAGAGAACUUUCCAGAGAUGGAUUGGUGCCUUCGGGAACUCUGACACAGGUGCUGCAUGGCUGUCGUCAGCUCGUGUCGUGAGAUGUUGGGUUAAGUCCCGUAACGAGCGCAACCCUUGUCCUUAGUUACCAGCACGUUAUGCUGGGGACUCUAAGGAUACUGCCCCGGUUAACGGGGAGGAAGGUGGGGAUGACGUCAAGUCAGUAUGUCCCUUACGUCCAGGGCUACACACGUGUUACAAUGGCCGGUACAAUGAGUUGCGACCCUGCAAAGGUAAGCCAAUCUCAAAAAACCGGUCUCAGUUCGGAUUGCAGUCUGCAACUCGACUGCGUGAAGUCGGAAUCGCUAGUAAUCGUGAAUCAGAAUGUCACGGUGAAUACGUUCCCGGGCCUU
This 447-nucleotide ribosomal RNA is filed under the name uncultured Pseudomonas sp. RNAcentral describes it as "bacterial SSU rRNA". It matches the Rfam family "Bacterial small subunit ribosomal RNA", at positions 936 to 1382 of the family's 1533-position model. Lineage: Bacteria; Pseudomonadati; Pseudomonadota; Gammaproteobacteria; Pseudomonadales; Pseudomonadaceae. The record is from RNAcentral.